RNAcentral lists this ribosomal RNA (460 nucleotides) under uncultured bacterium. RNAcentral's name for it is "partial 16S ribosomal RNA". It matches the Rfam family "Bacterial small subunit ribosomal RNA", at positions 338 to 795 of the family's 1533-position model. The record is from RNAcentral.
CCUACGGGUGGCAGCAGUGAGGAAUAUUGGUCAAUGGCCGGAAGGCUGAACCAGCCAUGCCGCGUGACGGUCAGUGCCCUAUGGGCGUUAAACUUCUUUUGUGCGGGAGCAAUCCUGGUCACGUGUGGCCAGACGAGAGUACCGUACGAAUAAGCAUCGGCUAACUCCGUGCCAGCAGCCGCGGUAAUACGGGGGAUGCAAGCGUUAUCCGGAUUUAUUGGGUUUAAGGGGUGCGUAGGCUGUGAGGUAAGUCAGCGGUGAAAUGCCCCCGCUCAACGGGGUGAAGUGCCAUUGAUACUGCCUGGCUGGAAUGCGGAUGCCGUGGGAGGAAUGUGUGGUGUAGCGGUGAAAUGCAUAGAUAUCACACAGAACACCGAUUGCGAAGGCAUCUCACGAAUCCGCGAUUGACGCUGAUGCACGAAAGCGUGGGUAUCAAACAGGAUUAGAUACCCCUGUAGUC